GCAAACUUGGUCAUUUAGAGGAAGUAAAAGUCGUAACAAGGUUUCCGUAGGUGAACCUGCGGAAGGAUCAUUCAUAAUAAAAGUGAAUUUUUAUGGCACUUUUAAAACAAUCCAUAUCCACCUUGUGUGCAAUGUUUUUUUUUUUUAUUAAACUCAUUUUUUUUAAUAUGUUUUGUCUGAAAUAUUUUUAUGAAUUUACUUAAUUCUAAAAUAUAACUUUCAACAACGGAUCUCUUGGCUCUCGCAUCGAUGAAGAACGCAGC
Molecule: unclassified non-coding RNA, 263 nt
Filed under: uncultured fungus
Lineage: Eukaryota; Fungi
Description: partial contains small subunit ribosomal RNA, internal transcribed spacer 1, and 5.8S ribosomal RNA
Rfam family: Eukaryotic small subunit ribosomal RNA (bases 1-73)
Source: RNAcentral